GACGAACGCUGGCGGCGUGCCUAAUACAUGCAAGUCGAGCGGACGGAUGGGAGCUUGCUCCCAGACCGUCAGCGGCGGACGGGUGAGUAACACGUGGGCAACCUGCCUGUAAGACUGGGAUAACUCCGGGAAACCGGGGCUAAUACCGGAUAACUCUUUCCCUCACAUGAGGGAAAGCUGAAAGAUGGCAUCUCGCUAUCACUUACAGAUGGGCCCGCGGCGCAUUAGCUAGUUGGUGAGGUAACGGCUCACCAAGGCGACGAUGCGUAGCCGACCUGAGAGGGUGAUCGGCCACACUGGAACUGAGACACGGCCCAGACUCCUACGGGAGGCAGCAGUGGGGAAUCUUCCGCAAUGGACGAAAGUCUGACGGAGCAACGCCGCGUGAGUGAUGAAGGUUUUCGGAUCGUAAAGCUCUGUUGUCGGGGAAGAACAAGUACCGGAGUAACUGCCGGUACCUUGACGGUACCUGAACAGAAAGCCACGGCUAACUACGUG
Molecule: ribosomal RNA, 498 nt
Filed under: uncultured bacterium
Lineage: Bacteria
Description: partial 16S ribosomal RNA
Rfam family: Bacterial small subunit ribosomal RNA
Source: RNAcentral